Molecule: ribosomal RNA, 337 nt
Filed under: uncultured Prevotella sp.
Lineage: Bacteria; Pseudomonadati; Bacteroidota; Bacteroidia; Bacteroidales; Prevotellaceae
Description: bacterial SSU rRNA
Rfam family: Bacterial small subunit ribosomal RNA
Source: RNAcentral
GAGUUCGAUCAUGGCUCAGGAUGAACGCUAGCUACAGGCUUAACACAUGCAAGUCGAGGGGUUGCCAGAGGAAAGCUUGCUUUCCUUGUCGGCGACCGGCGCACGGGUGAGUAACGCGUAUCCAACCUUCCCCUUAGUAGGGCAUAGCCCGGCGAAAGUCGGAUUAAUACCCUAUGUUUUCCAAUGAGGACAUCUGAGCUGGAACAAAGAUUUAUCGCUAAGGGAUGGGGAUGCGUCUGAUUAGGUAGUCGGCGGGGUAACGGCCCACCGAGCCUACGAUCAGUAGGGGUUCUGAGAGGAAGGUCCCCCACAUUGGUACUGAGCCAGGAUCAAACUC